GAUGAACGCUGGCGGCGUGCCUAAUACAUGCAAGUCGAGCGAACAGAUGAGGAGCUUGCUCCUCUGACGUUAGCGGCGGACGGGUGAGUAACACGUGGAUAACCUCCCUAUAAGACUGGGAUAACUUCGGGAAACCGGAGCUAAUACCGGAUAAUAUAUUGAACCGCAUGGUUCAAUAGUGUAAGACGGUUUUGCUGUCACUUAUAGAUGGAUCCGCGCCGCAUUAGCUAGUUGGUAAGGUAACGGCUUACCAAGGCAACGAUGCGUAGCCGACCUGAGAGGGUGAUCGACCACACUGGAACUGAGACACGGUCCAGACUCCUACGGGAGGCAGCAGUAGGGAAUCUUCCGCAAUGGGCGAAAGCCUGACGGAGCAGCGCCGCGUGAGUGAUGAAGGUCUUCGGAUCGUAAAACUCUGUUAUUAGGGAAGAACAAAUGUGUAAGUAACUAUGCACGUCUUGACGGUACCUAAUCAGAAAGCCACGGCUAACUACGUG
Molecule: ribosomal RNA, 497 nt
Filed under: uncultured bacterium
Lineage: Bacteria
Description: partial 16S ribosomal RNA
Rfam family: Bacterial small subunit ribosomal RNA
Source: RNAcentral